This 253-nucleotide ribosomal RNA is filed under the name uncultured bacterium. RNAcentral describes it as "partial 16S ribosomal RNA". It matches the Rfam family "Bacterial small subunit ribosomal RNA", at positions 524 to 776 of the family's 1533-position model. The record is from RNAcentral.
UACGGAGGGGGCUAGCGUUGUUCGGAAUUACUGGGCGUAAAGCGCACGUAGGCGGCUUUGUAAGUUAGAGGUGAAAGCCCGGGGCUCAACUCCGGAAUAGCCUUUAAGACUGCAUCGCUUGAACGUCGGAGAGGUGAGUGGAAUUCCGAGUGUAGAGGUGAAAUUCGUAGAUAUUCGGAAGAACACCAGUGGCGAAGGCGGCUCACUGGACGACUGUUGACGCUGAGGUGCGAAAGCGUGGGGAGCAAACAGG